Columba livia (rock pigeon) is the source of this 591-nucleotide long non-coding RNA. RefSeq lists it as uncharacterized. The record is from RefSeq and is a predicted model, not a curated record. The transcript has 3 exons. Lineage: Eukaryota; Metazoa; Chordata; Aves; Columbiformes; Columbidae.
CGACGUCACCUCCCCUGUGCAGCAGAGAGGGGACAAAGCCAGCGGGGACCCCAAGCACCGCGCAGCAGCUGGGGACACGGAUGAGAUCUGAGAGUGGAUCGCAGGGUGGGAUCCUGCCGAGCCGUGGGCUGAUGAAACCUCUUUGUCACAGGCUCAGCACCCUGGGACCUGCUCAGCAUCACGGUGUCUCUUCCCUGCAUCGUCCCUGGUCGCCAGCCACGCAGAGCCAGGGGACGCACCACCCAUUUGCAGGCAUUGCCACGGCAGAACUCCUGCACCAAACGUGUGUGGCCUCUGCGUUAGGCCGGUGCUAUCUCUUUAACAGAAGGGAGAGAAAAUAUUGGUGCCGUGGACCCCCCUGGGAAUAAAUUCAUACUGCCGUAUUGAUUCGAUUUUUUUUCUCCUUUUGCCUGAUACCUACGGCCUCCUGGGUAACGAAGAUUAAGCUUCAAGCCCUUCUGAUAUUACUUUGAAAUGCAGAAACCUUCAGAAAAAGAGACUACAUCUUCUCUCUUCUCGGAAAAAAGGCAAAUAUCUUCGGGGAUGGGCCAGUGCUUGUCUAUUUUGUCCUUUGCCCGCCUCCGGAGCCAU